UUCUUAUUGGAUGAUGAUUGUCAAGUGUCAUGUUCUGAUUGGAUGUCAACUCCAUGAAAAAUGAAAUGCAUUGUUGUUCUCAUUGACCAAUCAGAACAUGACACGUGACAGUCAUCAUCC
This is a non-coding RNA of Glycine soja, 120 nucleotides long. The record is from Rfam. Lineage: Eukaryota; Viridiplantae; Streptophyta; Magnoliopsida; Fabales; Fabaceae.